AGUGAACGCUGGCGGUAGGCCUAACACAUGCAAGUCGAACGGCAGCACAGUAAGAGCUUGCUCUUACGGGUGGCGAGUGGCGGACGGGUGAGGAAUACAUCGGAAUCUACUUUUUCGUGGGGGAUAACGUAGGGAAACUUACGCUAAUACCGCAUACGACCUACGGGUGAAAGCAGGGGAUCUUCGGACCUUGCACGAUUGAAUGAGCCGAUGUCGGAUUAGCUAGUUGGCGGGGUAAAGGCCCACCAAGGCGACGAUCCGUAGCUGGUCUGAGAGGAUGAUCAGCCACACUGGAACUGAGACACGGUCCAGACUCCUACGGGAGGCAGCAGUGGGGAAUAUUGGACAAUGGGCGCAAGCCUGAUCCAGCCAUACCGCGUGGGUGAAGAAGGCCUUCGGGUUGUAAAGCUCUUUUGUUGGGAAAGAAAAGCAGCAGGUUAAUACCCCGCUGUUCUGACGGUACCCAAAGAAUAAGCACCGGCUAACUUCAUG
This 492-nucleotide ribosomal RNA is filed under the name uncultured bacterium. RNAcentral describes it as "partial 16S ribosomal RNA". It matches the Rfam family "Bacterial small subunit ribosomal RNA", at positions 29 to 507 of the family's 1533-position model. The record is from RNAcentral.